AACGAACGCUGGCGGCAUGCCUAACACAUGCAAGUCGAACGAGACCUUCGGGUCUAGUGGCGCACGGGUGCGUAACGCGUGGUAACCUGCCCUUAGGUUCGGAAUAACUCCCCGAAAGGGGUGCUAAUACCGGAUAAUGUCUUCGGACCAAAGAUUUAUCGCCUUUGGAUGGGCCCGCGUUGGAUUAGCUAGUUGGUAGGGUAAAAGCCUACCAAGGCGACGAUCCAUAGCUGGUCAGAGAGGAUGAUCAGCCACACUGGGACUGAGACACGGCACAGACUACUACGGGAGGCAGCAGUGGGGAAUAUUGGACAAUGGGCGAAAGCCUGAUCCAGCAAUGCCGCGUGAGUGAUGAAGGCCUUAGGGUUGUAAAGCUCUUUUACCAGGGAUGAUAAUGACAGUACCGGGAGAAUAAGCACCGGCUAACUCCGUG
RNAcentral lists this ribosomal RNA (433 nucleotides) under uncultured bacterium. RNAcentral's name for it is "partial 16S ribosomal RNA". It matches the Rfam family "Bacterial small subunit ribosomal RNA", at positions 29 to 507 of the family's 1533-position model. The record is from RNAcentral.